CUUGUAUAAAAGAUUCAACAGCCAACAUAUCUUCACUCAUUCACUGACAACAACGUGGUUCUUUCCAUUGAGGAACAAGUUCUUCCUUCACACCGUAAAGAUGAGCUGUUGUAGAUGCUGUGGUGGUCGGAGCUGCUGCUGCUGUGGCCGAAGAACCAGGCCAAGAGUUAUCUAUUACGUAGGGAGACCUGCUGCUCCCUGCUGUGGUUAUCGCCGGUACACCUAUGCCCCCUCCUAUGUCCCAGUGCGAAGCUGCUGUGCUCCGGCACGCCCUUGCUGCUCCAGUCAGCAGUGCUGCAGCCAAGUAAAGAAAUGCUAAGGGAACUCCUUUGCUGAACAAAGUUGCCUGCAAGGAUACCAAUCAACAGCUUAGAAAGCGAUAGCAUCAGCAACUCCUGGUUGGAAACUUGCCGGUUUACCUCUUACAAAAUAAAAUGCCUGGAGCUUUGCUUGACUCCUCCGUUAAAUCA
This is a long non-coding RNA of Eublepharis macularius, 470 nucleotides long. RefSeq lists it as uncharacterized. The record is from RefSeq and is a predicted model, not a curated record. NCBI's taxonomy places the organism in Eukaryota, Metazoa, Chordata, Lepidosauria, Squamata, Eublepharidae. The transcript has 2 exons.